Molecule: ribosomal RNA, 900 nt
Filed under: Triticum aestivum (bread wheat)
Lineage: Eukaryota; Viridiplantae; Streptophyta; Magnoliopsida; Poales; Poaceae
Description: partial small subunit ribosomal RNA
Source: RNAcentral
AUGGUAGCGAGCAAGAUGGUGGCGAAGGAGGCGAUCCCGUUGCUGACGACGCACAGGAUGGGCCGGUUCGAGCUCUCCCACCGGGUGCGGGCCACCAAGGGCGGCCUCCUCAUCGCCGAGGCCACCGGCGUUUCCGCCACCGCGCAAGGGUACGCGGAGACCCCCGGCAUCUGGACGCAGCAGCAGGUCGACGCCUGGAAGCCCAUCGUCGACGCCGUCCACCGCAAGGGCGCUCUGUUUUUCUGUCAGCUUUGGCACGUCGGGAGGGUCUCCACCAACGAUUUCCAGCCGGACGGACAGGCGCCGAUAUCAAGCACUGACAAGCAGAUAAUGCCCGAUGCCGAGUCUGGCAUGGUCUAUUCCAAGCCCCGACAGCUUCAAACGGACGAGAUACCGCUGAUCGUCGACGACUUCAGACGCGCUGCCCGGAAUGCCAUCGAGGCGGGGUUCGACGGCGUGGAGAUCCACGGGGCACAUGGGUACCUAUUGGAGCAGUUCAUGAAAGACAGCUCUAACGAUCGCACCGACGAGUAUGGUGGCAGCCUCGAGAACCGAUGCCGCUUUGCGGUGGAAGUAAUUGAUGCUAUCGUCAAUGAAAUUGGUGCUGAUCGUGUAGGCAUCAGACAGAUACCCCACGGGCUCCUGCCCUUUAGGAAAGCAUUCAACGGCACUUUCAUUGCCGCUGGAGGAUAUGAUCGAGAGGAAGGCAACAAAGUGGUGGCGGACGGCUAUGCUGAUCUCGUUGCUUACGGGAGGAUCUUUCUGGCUAAUCCAGAUUUGCCAAAGAGAUUCGAGCUCGACUCACCAUUGAACAAGUACAACAGUAACACUUACUACACGCAAGAUCCUGUCAUUGGCUACACAAAUUAUCCUUUCCUUGAAGGCUCGAAUGCCGAGUAG